UACGUAGGAGGCGAGCGUUGUUCGGAUUCACUGGGCGUAAAGGGUGCGUAGGUGGUUAGGUAAGUCCGAUGUGAAAUCUCCAGGCUCAACCUGGAAAUGGCAUUGGAUACUAUCUAGCUUGAGGAGUGGAGGGGGGACUGGAAUUCUCGGUGUAGCAGUGAAAUGCGUAGAUAUCGAGAGGAACACCAGUGGCGAAGGCGAGUCCCUGGACACUUCCUGACACUGAGGCACGAAAGCUAGGGGAGCAAACAGG
RNAcentral lists this ribosomal RNA (253 nucleotides) under uncultured bacterium. RNAcentral describes it as "partial 16S ribosomal RNA". It matches the Rfam family "Bacterial small subunit ribosomal RNA", at positions 524 to 776 of the family's 1533-position model. The record is from RNAcentral.